CAGUAGGGAAUCUUCCACAAUGGACGAAAGUCUGAUGGAGCAACGCCGCGUGAGUGAAGAAGGGUUUCGGCUCGUAAAACACUGUUGUAAGAGAAGAAUGACAUUGAGAGUAACUGUUCAAUGUGUGACGGUAUCUUACCAGAAAGGAACGGCUAAAUACGUGUCAG
This 167-nucleotide ribosomal RNA is filed under the name uncultured bacterium. RNAcentral's name for it is "partial 16S ribosomal RNA". It matches the Rfam family "Bacterial small subunit ribosomal RNA", at positions 352 to 511 of the family's 1533-position model. The record is from RNAcentral.